CACUCACACACACUCUUCUGCCGCCGCAUUUUCUGGUACAGUGUUUGUUUCUUUAACAAAGAGCAGUGACUGCCCCGUGUGCGUGGGGAAUCAUUCUACUGCCCCUGGGCCCCUGUGGCCCGCGCUCAGAGGGGCCUGGCGUGGUAAUCACCAGUUUCAUUUAUGGGCACCUUUUGCUGCUCCACAACCAGUCUUGAGCUGAGAAGAAACCCUGCUGAAUGUAAGUGGUAGCUCUUGAAAAUAACGUGGGAACCGUGGAAAUAACCCUCGAAUAGGGCCCGAAUGUCAGGGAACCACGGGAGGCCCCACUGAUUUAAGUCCCCGAAGAACCUGAGGAUUUACUGGUCUUCUCUUUCUUUUUUAAAGCUAUUAAUGCCGCUUCAUUUAUUGGGGGAGGGGGGAUUCUUCCUUUCCUAUCUUAAAAAGCAACUCUGGGGACUUAAGAGACUUUUACUUGAAAGGGGAAACUCUUGGAUAGCAAAUAGGGUUAGUCAAAAUGAUCCUCUUUAAAAAAAAAAAAAAAAAGAUCCUCUUAACUCUAAUGCAGUUUUAUUGAUUCCCGAGUUUUAAAACCUGACAAGUCUGUGGCGCCCUUUCGGACUAAAGAAUUUGCAGCUUUGUAACUCUCAUAUCGUUGGUGCACAGUGAGCAGGACACUACAAGCCCAGCACCUUUUCUAGGGAAGCAUUUCUAAUCCCCUAUUUCCUGUCAAAUAACCUGUCACUCGUAGGAAUCCGUGUCCACUCAGAUAUUUGAAGGAAUUAGUGAUCAAUGCUGCUGCAUCUCCAUGUCAAAAACCUGGCGUAUUCAGGAGAAUGCAAGGACAAAGCCCGAUGCCUGGAGUGAGAAGAUCUCCCAGUAAGAAAUGCAUUGCCCCUCCAGCCAAUUGGAAGGAAGCUGGAAGGUUUGAGGUGGAUGGCUUUGCUCACAUUUUCUGAAUGGACCACAUGGAGAGAGCGGGAGAUUCUCAAUACCACCCAAGAACCUUUCUGAUCAGUGAGAUGGCAAGCCGUCAGCCAGGUAGAGCCCUGUUAACCCAGAGGGAGGGGAAGGGAAGGAGAAAAAGAGGGAGAGAAACAUCAAUACGUGGUUGCCUCUCAUGCACUUCAAACUGGGGGCCUGGCUCACUACCCAGGCACGUGCCCUGACUGGACGUCGAACCUGCCGAUGCUCAAUCCACGAAGCCACGCCAGCCGGGGCCAUCAAUACCCUUCUACAGGUCAGUAAAGCCAGGUUUGCUUGUUUUCUCUUUAAACAGGAUAUGCAUAUAUCAUUACAUGAAUGUUAGGAUUUGUUUUAAGUUGUUCAUUCUCCUGUUUAGCACCCUUCAUUCAAUCUUUUAGUCAUUUAUCUUUAUUUGUAUUGUCGUUCAACAUAAAUACAUCAAGUCCUCUGAUGUAUUUUUUUGUAAGGUUUCAUUUCAAUUAUUUUUAGUUAGGGGGAAAG
Molecule: long non-coding RNA, 1446 nt
Organism: Artibeus jamaicensis (Jamaican fruit-eating bat)
Lineage: Eukaryota; Metazoa; Chordata; Mammalia; Chiroptera; Phyllostomidae
Exons: 3
Source: RefSeq, a predicted model, not a curated record